This 224-nucleotide unclassified non-coding RNA is filed under the name Hevea brasiliensis (rubber tree). Lineage: Eukaryota; Viridiplantae; Streptophyta; Magnoliopsida; Malpighiales; Euphorbiaceae. The record is from RNAcentral.
AAAAUAAAUAAGCUUAUUUAAUUCAAUCUAAAUAAGUAAUCGCGUAAAGAAAGAACUUUAAAAUGAAUAGUAAAAUGUUCAGCUCCAAUGAAUGUUUCCUUUUCUUUCCCCUUUCCUAUAUGGAUGCAUUUAAAAAUUUUAAAUUUUUUAUCCGUUAAUCUCAAGUUCAAAUCCAUCAGAGUAUGUUGGGAGUUUACAAAAAGUGGUAGAAUUACCUUGCUUGU